GAGACUUAUGUGAAUCUCCCAGGCCUGCUAAGCCAAAGGAGCCGUGGUUUAACUCCAUGGAAAUCUCG
RNAcentral lists this transfer RNA (68 nucleotides) under Holothuria edulis. RNAcentral's name for it is "tRNA-Ser". Lineage: Eukaryota; Metazoa; Echinodermata; Holothuroidea; Aspidochirotida; Holothuriidae. The record is from RNAcentral.